RNAcentral lists this ribosomal RNA (375 nucleotides) under uncultured organism. RNAcentral's name for it is "partial 16S ribosomal RNA". It matches the Rfam family "Bacterial small subunit ribosomal RNA", at positions 527 to 896 of the family's 1533-position model. The record is from RNAcentral.
GUAGGUGGCAAGCGUUGUCCGGAAUUAUUGGGCGUAAAGCGCGCGCAGGUGGUUCUUUAAGUCUGAUGUGAAAGCCCCCGGGCUCAACCGGGGGAGGGUCAUUGGAAAACUGGGGAACUUGAGUGCAGGAGAGGAAAGUGGAAUUCCACGUGUAGCGGUGAAAUGCGUAGAUAUGUGGAGGAACACCAGUGGCGAAGGCGACUUUCUGGCCUGUAACUGACACUGAGGCGCGAAAGCGUGGGGAGCAAACAGGAUUAGAUACCCUGGUAGUCCACGCCGUAAACGAUGAGUGCUAAGUGUUGGGGGGUUUCCGCCCCUCAGUGCUGCAGCUAACGCAUUAAGCACUCCGCCUGGGGAGUACGGUCGCAAAGACUG